UGUUUUAUGUUUAAGUGCACAGUACUCUCACAACAGCAGGUCUGGGGUUCGAUUCCUUAGAGAUGCAUUUCUUUUAUUCUCUCUCCUAUCCUAUUCAUUCUCAUUUUCUAUGGAAGAACGCUCGGUUAACAGCCUUCCCAGGCUACAGGCAUCGCUUCCUUCAAUUUUACUUCCGAUUUCGCAUUCAAUUAUUUUCUAUUUUCAUUCAUUUUCUCAGCGACUCCCAUCGCAUCCUACUAGAUCGAAGAAGCAAGAACCCCUGCCCCAGACUACUGUGGUAGCAAAGGUCAUAUUUGCCGCAGGGAAAAUGAUUCAGUCCAAAGCAAAGCUCACAGAUACACUUCCAGUAUUACAUUAAAGGUGAAGACGAUGAUGAGCCCCACUUCCGUGAAAUGUUUUGACAUGAUAGUGAUUAUCAUCUACUACAAGUUGAGGGAGCCUCAGUGCACAUUCAUAUUAACUGGAGCAGCCUAUAUCAAUGAACAAUGGGAAGGCAACCCAAUAUAUUAUGGACCGAAAGGGGGAUUUGGCAGAGGUACGAGUGCAUCAAACGUGAUUGUGAUUACGUAAGAAGCUUAUUAAGUCACUCGGGAGUUGGAUCAUAGAAUGAUGAGAUGAAAACAGUUAAGGCAUCAAAAGAGAUGUGGAAUAGAGUUUAUGCGGAGUAUGGGAGAUAUGUAAGGUAUAAAAAUCGGACAUUAUCUACUUAUGAUUGUUUGAAAGACCUCAUUUGGCGGGAUGAUGAUCAGGUUUAAGAGAAGGCUGAAAGUGUAGGUUUAGGACAUCUAGUUAGGCGGGCAAAAUGGGUUGGCAUGCUGGGUUCAGGUUGACCUGCUUAGCUUGCCAACCCGUUAGGGUCAACCUGAAUCUGAUACAUUUAGUUAAAUAGGUCAAACGAUUAAACCCAAACACGACAUACUAAUUUAUCGGGUAACCCAACUUGACUUGUUUAAAUAAAACCCAUAAACAAAGAGAGACUGAGGAAACCUAGAAAAGAUUCGUGAUUUGGAACGUUGAAGACAACAAAGGCUGCUUGCUAUCGGUGUUUCUUGUCAAGGAUGACAUGAACGAGGUCGCCGCAGAGGAAUUCGAGAAAUUAAUUGUAUUUGAAGAGUUCUUCCUCUCAAUGACACCAUUCUUGGGCACGCCGUAUUGGUAUUGAUUGGUGUUGUGGUGGUGAGAAAGAGGUCGCAUCUGUUGGAUUGGAGAUGACGGACUUCUGUUUGAGGGUUAGGCCUUUUAGUUUAUUUUAGUUUAUUUUUUAAUUUAAUUUUAGUUGUUUUUAACCAGUUGACCCAUUUGACGCGUUUAUUAAAUGGGUCAUAAACAUGUUGACCUAAACUUAAAACCCUAUAACUUUGUGUCGUGUUCGUAUCGAAUUCGCGAGUCGUGUAAAAAAUUGUCAGCCCUACAUUUAAUAGAAGUAAUGCUCUCAUAUUUUGUACUA
Long non-coding RNA from Alnus glutinosa, 1447 nucleotides. RefSeq lists it as uncharacterized. The record is from RefSeq and is a predicted model, not a curated record. NCBI's taxonomy places the organism in Eukaryota, Viridiplantae, Streptophyta, Magnoliopsida, Fagales, Betulaceae. The transcript is spliced from 3 exons.